GACGAACGCUGGCGGCGUGCCUAAUACAUGCAAGUUGAGCGAUGAAGAUUGGUGCUUGCACCAAUUUGAAGAGCAGCGAACGGGUGAGUAACGCGUGGGGAAUCUGCCUUUGAGCGGGGGGCAACAUUUGGAAACGAAUGCUAAUACCGCAUAACAACUUUAAACAUAAGUUUUAAGUUUGAAAGAUGCAAUUGCAUCACUCAAAGAUGAUCCCGCGUUGUAUUAGCUAGUUGGUGAGGUAAAGGCUCACCAAGGCGAUGAUACAUAGCCGACCUGAGAGGGUGAUCGGCCACAUUGGGACUGGGACACGGCCCAAACUCCUACGGGAGGCAGCAGUAGGGAAUCUUCGGCAAUGGACGAAAGUCUGACCGAGCAACGCCGCGUGAGUGAAGAAGGUUUUCGGAUCGUAAAACUCUGUUGGUAGAGAAGAACGUUGGUGAGAGUGGAAAGCUCAUCAAGUGACGGUAACUACCCAGAAAGGGACGGCUAACUACGUG
This 497-nucleotide ribosomal RNA is filed under the name uncultured bacterium. RNAcentral describes it as "partial 16S ribosomal RNA". It matches the Rfam family "Bacterial small subunit ribosomal RNA", at positions 28 to 507 of the family's 1533-position model. The record is from RNAcentral.